UACGAAGGGGGCUAGCGUUGCUCGGAAUCACUGGGCGUAAAGGGUGCGUAGGCGGGUCUUUAAGUCAGGGGUGAAAUCCUGGAGCUCAACUCCAGAACUGCCUUUGAUACUGAAGAUCUUGAGUUCGGGAGAGGUGAGUGGAACUGCGAGUGUAGAGGUGAAAUUCGUAGAUAUUCGCAAGAACACCGGUGGCGAAGGCGGCUUCCUGGACUGACACUGACGCUGAGGCGCGAAAGCGUGGGGAGCGAACAGG
This 253-nucleotide ribosomal RNA is filed under the name uncultured bacterium. Its description in RNAcentral is "partial 16S ribosomal RNA". It matches the Rfam family "Bacterial small subunit ribosomal RNA", at positions 524 to 776 of the family's 1533-position model. The record is from RNAcentral.